Molecule: ribosomal RNA, 253 nt
Filed under: uncultured bacterium
Lineage: Bacteria
Description: partial 16S ribosomal RNA
Rfam family: Bacterial small subunit ribosomal RNA
Source: RNAcentral
UACGUAGGCAGCAAGCGUUGUUCGGAGUUACUGGGCGUAAAGGGUGCGUAGGCGGUUGUUUAAGUUUGGUGUGAAAUCUCCCGGCUCAACCGGGAGGGUGCGCCGAAUACUGAACGGCUAGAGUGCGGGAGAGGAGAGUGGAAUUCCUGGUGUAGCGGUGAAAUGCGUAGAUAUCAGGAGGAACACCGGUGGUGUAGACGGCUCUCUGGACCGUAACUGACGCUGAGGCACGAAAGCGUGGGGAGCAAACAGG